UAAUACAUACAAUCUAAAAUAUUUAAAAAUUAGGCAUAAAUAAUUAUAUAUUUUAAAAUUUUAUUAUAAUUAAAAUAUAAACUUAUGAAUUUACACCGAACGAGUGUUAAGAUCAGCAUUAUUGUUUGUAAUCAAAACUUGCAUAUCUAAUACAACUGAUCACAUAUGAAAAUGUAUCUAAAACUUUCUUAUUUAAUUAAUUAAAAUAUAUUGUUAUUUACUUUAUAAAAUAUAUAUUUAAUUAUUUAUAAAGAAGAUAAAUGAGCCCGUUGCGUAGCACGAGUUCCUUAACUAGUUUGUAAUUAAUUCAGAACUGAAGCCUGUGUAUCUGUCUGAGUUUAAGGAAACUCGAGAUCACGCCUCCAAAGGAAAAAUUCUAGAAGCAAGGGGUAUAUUGAUAACGUGACGUAACAAUCCAAUUAAAUAUAUUCUUUUAAGGGUAUAUGUCCCAUCAUGAUUAUAGAAAAAUAUUUCUAUUGUACUUUUGUUUGAAAAGAAGUAAUAUAAUUGGCUUGUUAUUGAUGAUGUGGUGACAGUGUAGAAUUCCUCCCUCCAAAAACCCUUUGGAGGGUUUGGAUGGUGUCCCAGUUUGCACCGUACCUGAGGAGUGUAAAACAAACGUUACACAACUGCACGGGACAUAUUGAGCUUGGGUCCUUUUUAUUUGUAUUAAUUAUUCGAUAAAAGUACUGUUUUCUUUACUUUUAUAUAUAUUUAGAGACGGAGAGAAAUGAUUCGGAACUUUACUUUAUAAAAAAUAAAAAAAAAUUAACCGUUGAUCAAUAGAGGGUAAAGAUGUAAUUUUAGUAGGUAAAUGGUUACUUUAUUCGAGAUUAUUUUUGUAAUUAAACUUUGCAAUAUUUAAAGAAAAAUUAAAAUUGAUAUCCUAAAUUUACGCAUUAAUUUGCACUAAUUUGAUGAAUUGAUGGAUAACCCAAAUUUAGGUAUUAAUAUAGGCAUUUAUUUUAGAUAUUUUAGUGUUUCUCAAAUUUAGGCAUUAAUUUAAAUUAUAGAAAUUUUAGAAAUAUUAAAUAUUAAACAUUAAAUAUUAAAUAUUAAAUAUUAAAUAUUUAAAUUUAAGUUAGAGGAAUUUUGUAUUACUGUUUAAAAAAUUUGUAAUGUUGGUAAAUAUUUUAAUU
RNAcentral lists this long non-coding RNA (1139 nucleotides) under Ananas comosus (pineapple). RNAcentral describes it as "long non-coding RNA (ACOM_LNC010384)". The record is from RNAcentral. Lineage: Eukaryota; Viridiplantae; Streptophyta; Magnoliopsida; Poales; Bromeliaceae.